GUAGGGGGCAAGCGUUGUCCGGAAUUAUUGGGCGUAAAGCGCGCGCAGGCGGUUCUUUAAGUCUGAUGUGAAAUCUUGUGGCUCAACCACAAGCGGUCAUUGGAAACUGGGGAACUUGAGUACAGAAGAGGAGAGUGGAAUUCCACGUGUAGCGGUGAAAUGCGUAGAUAUGUGGAGGAACACCAGUGGCGAAGGCGACUCUCUGGUCUGUAACUGACGCUGAGGCGCGAAAGCGUGGGGGGAGCAAACAGGAUUAGAUACCCUGGUAGUCCACGCCGUAAACGAUGAGUGCUAGGUGUUAGGGGGUUUCCGCCCCCCCCCUCAGUGCUGCAGCUAACGCAUUAAGCACUCCGCCUGGGAGUACGGCCGCAGGCUG
RNAcentral lists this ribosomal RNA (376 nucleotides) under uncultured organism. RNAcentral describes it as "partial 16S ribosomal RNA". It matches the Rfam family "Bacterial small subunit ribosomal RNA", at positions 527 to 896 of the family's 1533-position model. The record is from RNAcentral.